GACGGAGGAUGCAAGUGUUAUCCGGAAUCACUGGGCGUAAAGCGUCUGUAGGUGGUUUAAAAAGUCCACUGUUAAAAAUUGAAGCUUAACUUCAAAGAUGCAAUGGAAACUUUUAAACUUGAGUAUGGUAGGGGUAGAGGGAAUUUCCAGUGGAGCGGUGAAAUGCGUAGAUAUUGGAAAGACCACCAAUGGCGAAGGCACUCUACUGGGCCAUUACUGACACUGAGGAGCGAAAGCAUGGGGAGCGAACAGG
This 253-nucleotide ribosomal RNA is filed under the name uncultured bacterium. RNAcentral describes it as "partial 16S ribosomal RNA". It matches the Rfam family "Bacterial small subunit ribosomal RNA", at positions 524 to 776 of the family's 1533-position model. The record is from RNAcentral.